GACGAACGCUGGCGGCGUGCUUAACACAUGCAAGUCGAACGGAAAGGCCCUGCUUUUGUGGGGUGCUCGAGUGGCGAACGGGUGAGUAACACGUGAGUAACCUGCCCUUGACUUUGGGAUAACUUCAGGAAACUGGGGCUAAUAACGGAUAGGAGCUCCUGCUGCAUGGUGGGGGUUGGAAAGGUUCGGCGGUUGGGGAUGGACUCGCGGCUUAUCAGCUUGUUGGUGGGGUAGUGGCUUACCAAGGCUUUGACGGGUGGCCGGCCUGAGAGGGUGACCGGCCACAUUGGGACUGGGAUACGGCCCAGACUCCUACGGGAGGAAGCAGUGGGGAAUAUUGCACAAUGGGCGGAAGCCUGAUGCAGCAACGCCGCGUGCGGGAUGACGGCCUUCGGGUUGUAAACCGCUUUCGCCUGUGACGAAGCGUGAGUGACGGUAAUGGGUAAAGAAGCACCGGCUAACUACGUG
This 468-nucleotide ribosomal RNA is filed under the name uncultured bacterium. RNAcentral describes it as "partial 16S ribosomal RNA". It matches the Rfam family "Bacterial small subunit ribosomal RNA", at positions 28 to 507 of the family's 1533-position model. The record is from RNAcentral.